GGUAAGAUGGCUGAGGGUCAAGCGGCGGAGUGUAGUUCCGAGGACAGAGGUUUAAAUCCUCUUAUUACC
RNAcentral lists this transfer RNA (69 nucleotides) under Caecilia gracilis (graceful caecilian). RNAcentral's name for it is "tRNA-Tyr". It matches the Rfam family "tRNA". Rfam says of the family: Transfer RNA (tRNA) molecules are approximately 80 nucleotides in length. Their secondary structure includes four short double-helical elements and three loops (D, anti-codon, and T loops). Lineage: Eukaryota; Metazoa; Chordata; Amphibia; Gymnophiona; Caeciliidae. The record is from RNAcentral.